ACAGAGGGGGCAAGCGUUAUUCGGAAUUAUUGGGCGUAAAGAGCGCGUAGGCGGUAUUUUAAGUGAGAUGUGCAAUCCCUGAGCUUAACUUGGGAACUGCAUCUCAGACUGGAAUGCUAGAGUAUCGGAGAGGGUGGUAGAAUUCCACGUGUAGCGGUGAAAUGCGUAGAGAUGUGGAGGAAUACCAGUGGCGAAGGCGGCCACCUGGACGGUAACUGACGCUGAGGUGCGAAAGUGUGGGUAGCAAACAG
This 251-nucleotide ribosomal RNA is filed under the name uncultured prokaryote. RNAcentral describes it as "partial 16S rRNA". It matches the Rfam family "Bacterial small subunit ribosomal RNA", at positions 525 to 775 of the family's 1533-position model. The record is from RNAcentral.